Molecule: long non-coding RNA, 555 nt
Filed under: Meriones unguiculatus (Mongolian gerbil)
Lineage: Eukaryota; Metazoa; Chordata; Mammalia; Rodentia; Muridae
Description: lncRNA (ENSMUGG00000020788.1)
Source: RNAcentral
UUUUUGUUUUUUGUCAGAAAACAGCAGCUUGCUUUCCAGCAGCUAUACUGUUAAUGAUGGUGACGCCCUACUGUGUUAAUGGCUGUGACUGCCCUACUAUGCUACCAGGAACACGGCUUCCCGUGUUCACCGCAAACCUUGUUUCUCAUCGCGGAAGUCUUGUAGAACCGGAGCUCUGUCUCCUGCUCCAGCUGUGAAACACGCCUAGCAAUAAGUGGAUGAAUCACUGGCAUGAUGCAGAAACAUGUGACGGUUCUCUUCCAUUCCUUCGGCAGCACCAUUCUCUCUCCACCGCCCAGCAUUCUGUGUCUCCCCGUAAGCAGCUCACAUGGUCGGGCCCUCCUGUACUCCUGAGUCUGGGAUAUUUUGUUAAGGGACCUGUGAUGACCACGUGAACAAGGCAAACAGAUUCAUGGGAAAAUGGAGCUUUAAAAUCUGGUGGCUUUAUAGACAAGCAGGCAGGAAAUUUAAAUCCAAUCAGACAAAAUGAAAGAGCUGGCUUUAUCUCUUCUAGUCACAGAUUACCUAACUAUUCAGAGACUUUCCUGAAAAAGC